Long non-coding RNA from Amblyraja radiata (thorny skate), 79 nucleotides. RefSeq lists it as uncharacterized. The record is from RefSeq and is a predicted model, not a curated record. The transcript has 3 exons. NCBI's taxonomy places the organism in Eukaryota, Metazoa, Chordata, Chondrichthyes, Rajiformes, Rajidae.
AAUUUAGUUAGUUUACAUCCGUCUUCCAUUGAUCCAAAGAUAAUCAGUUCCGUAUUGGGUUUCAAUUUUAUUUUAAAUA